RNAcentral lists this ribosomal RNA (433 nucleotides) under uncultured bacterium. RNAcentral describes it as "partial 16S ribosomal RNA". It matches the Rfam family "Bacterial small subunit ribosomal RNA", at positions 29 to 507 of the family's 1533-position model. The record is from RNAcentral.
AACGAACGCUGGCGGCAUGCCUAACACAUGCAAGUCGAACGAGACCUUCGGGUCUAGUGGCGCACGGGUGCGUAACGCGUGGGAAGCUGCCCUUAGGUUCCGAAUAACUCUCCUAAGGGGGUGCUAAUACCGGAUAAUGUCUGCUGACCAAAGAUGUAUCGCGUUUGGAUGAGCCCGCGUUGGUUUAGCGUGGUGGUAGGGUAAAAGCCUAUCAAGGCGAGGAUACCUAGCUGGUCUGAGAGGAUGAUCAGCCACACUGGGACUGGGAAACGGCCCAGAAUCCUACGGGAGGGGGGAGUGGGGAAUAUAGGAAAAUGGGGGAAGGCAUGAUCCCGCAAUGCCGGGAGAGUGAUGAAGGCCUUAGGGUUGUGAAGCUCUUUUACACGGGAUGAUAAUGACAGUACCGGGAGAAUAAGCACCGGCUAACUCCGUG